Molecule: long non-coding RNA, 293 nt
Organism: Danio aesculapii
Lineage: Eukaryota; Metazoa; Chordata; Actinopteri; Cypriniformes; Danionidae
Exons: 4
Source: RefSeq, a predicted model, not a curated record
AGACUUUGGUUUAUGAUGUAGAGAAGUGGGCAGACGAAGCAAAGACAACAAAAAACAGAAGUGAUGUGGAUGUCUUCGCCUUAUAGCAUGACACUGUCGAUCUAACAACAACGAGAAGGGCGUUCAACAUUAUCCUGCUAGCAAGGACUCUUCAAGAGAACAGAGGAAUCUUGUGGCAGAGAUGGCCAACCAUUAUAAAUACCAAAUACCUUUCAACUCAUCCUGGUUCCUUCAGAGAACUGUCCUGCUUGUGUGCUACUGAAAAAUACGACAUGUGGCCUAAACGAAGAGGC